GCAAACUGAAAGAAAUCAGUCCCUUCUGGUA
RNAcentral lists this non-coding RNA (31 nucleotides) under Homo sapiens (human). Lineage: Eukaryota; Metazoa; Chordata; Mammalia; Primates; Hominidae. The record is from RNAcentral.